This is a non-coding RNA of Xenopus tropicalis (tropical clawed frog), 46 nucleotides long. NCBI's taxonomy places the organism in Eukaryota, Metazoa, Chordata, Amphibia, Anura, Pipidae. The record is from Rfam.
CCAAAGGCUCUUUUCAGAGCCCCCACUUGCUCAGUCUCAGAGCUGU